This 466-nucleotide ribosomal RNA is filed under the name uncultured Allobrachymonas sp. RNAcentral's name for it is "bacterial SSU rRNA". It matches the Rfam family "Bacterial small subunit ribosomal RNA", at positions 910 to 1382 of the family's 1533-position model. The record is from RNAcentral. Lineage: Bacteria; Pseudomonadati; Pseudomonadota; Betaproteobacteria; Burkholderiales; Comamonadaceae.
UUGACGGGACCCGCACAAGCGGUGGAUGAUGUGGUUUAAUUCGAUGCAACGCGAAAACCUUACCCACCUUUGACAUGGCAGGAAUCCUGAAGAGAUUUGGGAGUGCUCGAAAGAGAACCUGCACACAGGUGCUGCAUGGCUGUCGUCAGCUCGUGUCGUGAGAUGUUGGGUUAAGUCCCGCAACGAGCGCAACCCUUGCCAUUAGUUGCUACGAAAGGGCACUCUAAUGGGACUGCCGGUGACAAACCGGAGGAAGGUGGGGAUGACGUCAAGUCCUCAUGGCCCUUAUAGGUGGGGCUACACACGUCAUACAAUGGCCGGUACAGAGGGUAGCCAACCCGCGAGGGGGAGCCAAUCCCACAAAGCCGGUCGUAGUCCGGAUCGCAGUCUGCAACUCGACUGCGUGAAGUCGGAAUCGCUAGUAAUCGCGGAUCAGCAUGUCGCGGUGAAUACGUUCCCGGGUCUU